Molecule: ribosomal RNA, 490 nt
Filed under: uncultured bacterium
Lineage: Bacteria
Description: bacterial SSU rRNA
Rfam family: Bacterial small subunit ribosomal RNA
Source: RNAcentral
AGGCCUAACACAUGCAAGUCGAACGGUAACAUUUCUAGCUUGCUAGAAGAUGACGAGUGGCGGACGGGUGAGUAAUGCUUGGGAACUUGCCUUUGCGAGGGGGAUAACAGUUGGAAACGACUGCUAAUACCGCAUAAUGUCUUCGGACCAAACGGGGCUUUUAGCUCCGGCGCAAAGAGAGGCCCAAGUGAGAUUAGCUAGUUGGUAAGGUAACGGCUUACCAAGGCGACGAUCUCUAGCUGUUCUGAGAGGAAGAUCAGCCACACUGGGACUGAGACACGGCCCAGACUCCUACGGGAGGCAGCAGUGGGGAAUAUUGCACAAUGGGGGAAACCCUGAUGCAGCCAUGCCGCGUGUGUGAAGAAGGCCUUCGGGUUGUAAAGCACUUUCAGUUGUGAGGAAAAGUUAGUAGUUAAUACCUGCUAGCCGUGACGUUAACAACAGAAGAAGCACCGGCUAACUCCGUGCCAGCAGCCGCGGUAAUACGGAG